Molecule: transfer RNA, 72 nt
Filed under: Camelus bactrianus (Bactrian camel)
Lineage: Eukaryota; Metazoa; Chordata; Mammalia; Artiodactyla; Camelidae
Also listed under: 2 other names
Rfam family: tRNA
About the family: Transfer RNA (tRNA) molecules are approximately 80 nucleotides in length. Their secondary structure includes four short double-helical elements and three loops (D, anti-codon, and T loops).
Source: Rfam by way of RNAcentral
GAAAGUAGAACUCAAUGGUAGAGCACCUGCUUAGCAUGCACAAGGUCCUGGGUUCAAUCCCCAGUACUUCCA